Molecule: RNA transcript, 1046 nt
Organism: Mandrillus leucophaeus (drill)
Lineage: Eukaryota; Metazoa; Chordata; Mammalia; Primates; Cercopithecidae
Gene name: selenide, water dikinase 1 pseudogene
Exons: 1
Source: RefSeq, a predicted model, not a curated record
AAGCACGCCGCUAGAUCCAUAAAGAACCCAGCCAACCUGCAAAGGGAGGGGAGGGGAUGAGCUGUGAGGAGAGCGGGGCCCAAGAACCAUGUCUACCCGGGAGUCCUUUAACCUGGAAAGUUACAAAUUGGACAAAAGCUUCCGGCUAACCAGAUUCACUGAACUUAAGGCUGCAAAGUGCCCCAAGAUAUCCUGCAAAAAUUGCUGGAAUCUUUACAGGCGAACCACUUCCAAGAAGAUGAGCAAUUUUUGGGAGCCGUUAUGCCAAGGCUUGGCGUUGGAAUGGAUACUUGUGUCAUUCCUUUGAGACACAGUGGGCUUUCCUUGGUUCAAAUCACAGAUUACAUUUACCUGAUCGUAGACGACUCCUAUAUGAUGGGCAGGAUAGCAUGUGCCAAUGUCCUCAGUGACCUCUAUGCAAUGGGGGUCACGGAAUGUGGCAAUAUGCUGAUGCUCCUUAGAGUCAAUAAUAAAAUGAUCGACAGGGAAAGAGAUAAAGUGAUGCUUCUGAUUAUCCAAGGUUUUAAAGAUGCAGCUGAAUAAACAGGAACAUCUGUAACAGGCAGCCAAACAGUACUAAACCCCUGGAUUGUCCUGGGAGGAGUCGCUACCACUGUCUGCCAGCCCAGUGAAUUUAUCAUGCCAGACAAUGCAGUGCCAGGGGACGUGCUGGUGUUGACAAAACCCCUGGGGACACAGGUGGCAGUGACUGUGCACCAGUGGCUGGAUAUUCCUGAGAAAUGGAAUAAGAUUAAACUAGUGGUCACCCAAGAAGAUGUAGAGCUGGCCUACCAGAAGGUGAUGAUGAACAUGGGGAGGCUCAACAGAACAGGUGGCCUUCUGAUCUGUUUACCACGUGAGCAAGCAGCUCGGUUCUGUGCAGAGAUAAAGUCCUCCAGAUGUGGUGAAGGCCACCAAGCAUGACUAUUGGGAUUGUAGAGAAGGGCAACCACACAGCCAGAAUCAUAGACAAACCCUGGAUCAUCAAGAUCGCACCACAAGUGGCCACUCAAAAUGUGAAUCCCACACCUGGGGCCACCUCUUAA